UACGUAGGGGGCUAGCGUUGUCCGGAAUCAUUGGGCGUAAAGCGCGCGUAGGCGGCCCGGUAAGUCCGCUGUGAAAGUCAAAGGCUCAACCUUUGAAUGUCAGCGGAUACUGCCGGGCUAGAGUCCGGAAGAGGCGAGUGGAAUUCCUGGUGUAGCGGUGGAAUGCGCAGAUAUCAGGAGGAACACCAACGGCGAAGGCAGCUCGCUGGGACGGUACUGACGCUGAGGUGCGAAAGCGUGGGGAGCAAACAGG
This 253-nucleotide ribosomal RNA is filed under the name uncultured bacterium. RNAcentral describes it as "partial 16S ribosomal RNA". It matches the Rfam family "Bacterial small subunit ribosomal RNA", at positions 524 to 776 of the family's 1533-position model. The record is from RNAcentral.